This is a small nuclear RNA of Otolemur garnettii (small-eared galago), 106 nucleotides long. The record is from Ensembl. Lineage: Eukaryota; Metazoa; Chordata; Mammalia; Primates; Galagidae.
GUGCCGGCUUUGGUAGCACAAAUACUAAAAUGAGAAUGAUAUAGGAAGAUCAGCAUGGCACCUGCACAAGGGGGACAUACAGAUUCGGGAAGUGUUCCACACUUGA